This is a long non-coding RNA of Helianthus annuus (common sunflower), 1724 nucleotides long. RefSeq lists it as uncharacterized. Lineage: Eukaryota; Viridiplantae; Streptophyta; Magnoliopsida; Asterales; Asteraceae. The record is from RefSeq and is a predicted model, not a curated record. The transcript is spliced from 11 exons.
AUUUUCUCUUCUUUCAACAUUAUCAACCGCCUCUUUCUCUCUCUAUUCUUUUCCUUCACUGCUUCACACCGAAACCCUAGCCUCCGUGUUCCUUUGGCUUGAAGCUUCUACAUCUCAUUUUCUAUGAAAACAUACGCUUGUGCUUGAAUCGACUGAUAAAGGAAACACGCUUUGCCCUUUCCAAUUCCUGCUCUCAAACCCUACUGUCCGAAUACACAUCUUCCCCUUCACGUUUCCUGCCGAUCAAUCGAUUUAUCAAUCCUAUAAUAUACUAAUCUCAUCAAUGUUGAAAGCCAUCAUCAAUUUGGUGUAGAUGGGUAUUCAAGAAAAUAAAGGCAUAAGUGGGAGUUUGGGUUCGUUUCUUACUCGCAGAUGCUUUGGUUGUCUUAUGAGGGGCUACUUAGAAGGUUUUGGUGUGUGCUGCCUCCUUUAGAAGAAGAGGAUGUUCCUCAACUAUACCCAAAAGGGCCAAAUCUUGGUGAGUGAGCUUGAGAAACAGUUGAAAAUGGAGAUAAAAUCAAGAAACAGAGCCAGAGCCGAAAAGAUCUGGUAAAAGACAUAAUUUCUCUUUAGAUGAUGGUAAUUUAGGGUCUUUUGAUGAGGAUAUUUUUGGGUAGUCUAAUGAGAAUAAGAGUCAGAAAGAAAGAUGGAGCUGAAGAUCUUUUAAAAAAGAAGAUGACAAUGGCUAGAUUUUAUGUAUUUUGGUUCCAGCGGAAUGAAAUGGUCAAGACCGGGUUCUCCGGGUUCGGAGGAACCCGACUUUGUAGUGGGGCUACUUCAACUUAAAAGAUGAAACAAGGGUUACUAAAUAAAGUUCAAUAAGCAAUCCCAAACACCCCUCUAAAAGUAACUUAUUUAGUUAAUGCUUAAAAGUCAAAUGUGGUCAUGAUUUGUUCUUUUGAUGUUUUCUUUUCUUAUAUGCUCAGGCAUGAUUUUACUUUCAACAACUUAUAUCAUGAGUUAGUUACUGUCAUUCAAUGUUAUACAAUCUUUUCGUUCAGUUUACCAUUCUACCAUUUCUUUGUUCAUAACAAUAUCGCCUCUAGCUCUAUUCUUCACCGAUUAUUGUGUUGCAGGACAUUUGUCACGGAUAUCUUAAGCUUGAAAAUACACUGUUGGAAGUGCAGCUCCUCGUGUUAAAAAUACUUAAAAUAUGUGAUUUUGGGUAUUCAAAGUGCAUGUUAUGUGACACUGGACUGGUCCACAAGGUGUGCCAAACGUUUAGAUAUAAGGCUAUAGGGUGUGCAUGACCAUCAUAACCCUCCACAUAGUUUGAUCACAAAUGUUGCAGCCGCUCCUCUCACCGAUCGACCUGAUCACAAGUGCAGGAUUCCGGCGACAUUCGAUUAGGAUUCCGGUUAGGUCAAUUUGAAUUCAGCGAGUGGUUGCAAUUGAUAAGAUUUGAUUAGCAUGGAACAUCGAAAGGAUGAGGUUGUUGAGAGGAUCAACUUUAGAUCAUAAAAUGAUGCACUCAUAGCUGCGACUUCAAGAUGGAAAGGUUGAACAUGAUCAUACAAGAGAUGGUGAAAGAAAAAGAAGAGAAAGAAAGGUUGAACGGAAGGAUGACAAAUGUUGAACGAUGCUAAAAAUUAGGUAUCAAAACGUCUAAUCAUCGAGUUGGUUAUAAGCACUUUAUUUUGGAUAUGUAUUUUGUUCGGAGAACUCAUGUAUUUAAUUUGAUGUUUUAAGUGGAAUGCUUUAUAUAAUUUUGAAAAUUCUAGAAA